RNAcentral lists this ribosomal RNA (558 nucleotides) under uncultured bacterium. RNAcentral describes it as "bacterial SSU rRNA". It matches the Rfam family "Bacterial small subunit ribosomal RNA", at positions 42 to 632 of the family's 1533-position model. The record is from RNAcentral.
GCGUGCCUAACACAUGCAAGUCGAACGAGAAAGUGGAGCAAUCCAUGAGUAAAGUGGCGACCGGGUGAGUAACACGUGACUAACCUACCCUCGAGUGGGGAAUAACCUCGGGAAACCGGGGCUAAUACCGCAUAACAUCUUCGGAUCAAAGGAGCAAUCCGCUGGAGGAGGGGGUCGCGGCCGAUUAGCUAGUUGGCGGGGUAACGGCCCACCAAGGCCAUGAUCGGUAGCCGGCCUGAGAGGGCGCACGGCCACACUGGAACUGAAACACGGUCCAGACUCCUACGGGAGGCAGCAGUGGGGAAUUUUGCGCAAUGGGGGAAACCCUGACGCAGCAACGCCGCGUGGAGGAUGAAGCCCCUUGGGGUGUAAACUCCUCUCGAUCGGGACGAUUAUGACGGUACCGGAUGAAGAAGCACCGGCUAACUCUGUGCCAGCAGCCGCGGUAAUACAGAGGGUGCAAGCGUUGUUCGGAAUUAUUGGGCGUAAAGGGCGCGUANGCGGUGCGGUAAGUCUAUUGUGAAAUCUCCGGGCUCAACUCGGAGCUUGCAACGGAAA